This is a long non-coding RNA of Papaver somniferum (opium poppy), 1735 nucleotides long. RefSeq lists it as uncharacterized. The record is from RefSeq and is a predicted model, not a curated record. Lineage: Eukaryota; Viridiplantae; Streptophyta; Magnoliopsida; Ranunculales; Papaveraceae. The transcript has 5 exons.
UUGAUCCCCUCUUCCGUUACAAACCCAGUACCACUGAAUCCUCAUUUCAUUUAAUCUCCUCUUCCGUUAAAGAAAUAAAUUAGGGCUAUUUCAAUUCCUUCGAAUCAUUUAAUUUGAUGCGUUACGGUAGCUCUAUGUUCCCUUACAUAAACCUCAACAGAGUUUAUCAUCUUCCCAUGUUUCUCCAUUUCUUUCUUCCCUACUCUCUCUAUCUCUCUCGAGACUAUCAGAUGAUGGAAGCGAUAUGAUUUGGACCAGCAGACUAAUAUGGCCGCUGAGUUAGAUGGUCAUUUUCAUUCGAGCUGAACUCUACUUGAAGGUUAAUAUCCAUCUGUGAGUAGUUAUGAAGAUCAGCCUGGUGAAGAUGAAUUGUUUAUGGGAGGUUUUUGGUUGCACAAGCCAUGGUUUCUGUGAAGAACUUAAUGUUUAGAGAGUAUUCACCAAACCUUCAAUACUGCGCAGGUUGAUGCAUUUAUUAAUCUUGGAAACAAGAAGGUCCUGCAAUCACGGGAGACAAGGUUGCUGGAGUAGCUUCUCAAAAUCUUUUAUGUGCAGAUUUUAUUGGGUGAGUAGUGGAAAUAUACUCGAGCUGAACUCUUCUUUUCUCUCUUACAAAUACAGCUUUACAUUUUGGAUGUUAGAACAGUUGUUUUCUGUUGUUUAAUUGGGACCUUGCAUCUCCACAAUCUUAAAUGUAUAUAGUUCCAGUUCGAGUUAUGAAGAAUUUACUGCUGGGUGUGGAGAAAUAAAUUGAUGAUAUUCUCUGGAUUCGGAGAUUCUCUAUUAAAGCCGGAGCUUCUUAGAGCAAUUGUUGAUUCGGGAUUUGAGCAUCCAUCUAAAUGUAAUUUACUUUUACUUGGAUUCUUUUAUGUCUUUGAUUUAACAAAGUUUUACUUGGAUUGGCUGUUUUACUUCCAGAGGCACCCAGAAAUGACUGGAGUUAUAUGUGAGCUAAGUUAAUCCUCCUUUGUAUGCCUGUAAGAUGCUUAAGAAAGAUGGAUCUCUCCUGGAAUUUGUGGUGUGCCUAUACCGAAUCAUGGAACAGGCAAUCAGUGUUAUGGGUGGCUUUGUAACAUGAUGAAUGCAAAGGGUAACGAGAAUUCAGUCAGUCAUGGAUAUGAUCUUAUCCUGUGGAUUCAUUCAAUUCCCUGAAUUUAUUAAUUCCGUAGAACGAUGAAGGAGGGUGCUAUAAACAUUAGGAGAUUAUACGUGUGCACAGAGUGAUGUGAUCUUAGUUGUGCAGAAAAUUAUAGUUUGCUUUCUUUUCCAAAUCAUAGCUCUGAGAGAAGCAUAUGUAGGGAACUAACCGUGCAGAAUAGAGGUCAAUUCAAAGGCCAAUAACAUAAACAGGGUGAUGCACACCCAAUAUCCUAUCAUAUUGAAUCCCAAUUGAUCAGUGGGUCGACAAUUACUGGUGUUUGGGUGUUACCACUAUUGCCAUUGGGAUCGAUGUCAACAAGGUGGAUCCGGACAAGCCUACAAGAUUUGGAAGAUUUGGCAUGCGGUACACGGAUUAACUGGAUAAGAAAAAAAUUGGGGAACACACGGAACAACUGGAAGUGAACGUGAUAGUGCGGUCUAUAUAUGCGCAGUUAUUUUUCAGAAUGCAACUUUUGAUUUUUGGCGAUCUAUGGUGUUGAUGUAAGUCAACCAUGUAUGUGUUCAUAUUUUUUUUUUAUCAAAAAACAAACUGUUUAAGCAAUCUAAGGAAAAGGGGUUCAGAUCAGUUAUACAA